Molecule: ribosomal RNA, 100 nt
Filed under: Anas platyrhynchos (mallard)
Lineage: Eukaryota; Metazoa; Chordata; Aves; Anseriformes; Anatidae
Description: partial 12S ribosomal RNA
Source: RNAcentral
CCGCGGUCAUACAAGAGACCCAAAUCAACUGUCCUACAAGCGGCGUAAAGAGUGGUAAGAUGCCUAUCCUACCUAACUAAGAUCAAAAUGCAACUAAGCU